CAAUAGCGUAUAUUAAAGUUGUUGCAGUUAAAAAGCUCGUAGUUGGAUUUCUGGAUGGAGCGACCGGUCGGGCAUUAAUUUGUCUGCACUGGAGUCGGUUCCGUCCAUCCUCUUGGAAAGUGCGUCGGGCAUUAAGUUGUUUGGCGUAUGAUCCAAGUCGUUUACUGUGAAAAAAUUAGAGUGUUUAAAGCAGGCCUUCGCCUUGGAUACAUUAGCAUGGAAUAAUAAGAUAGGACUUUGGUCUAUUUUGUUGGUUUGCAGACCGAAGUAAUGAUUAAUAGGGAUAGUUGGGGGUAUUUAUAUUCCGAUGUCAGAGGUGAAAUUCUUAGAUUUUCGGAAGAUAAACUUAUGCGAAAGCAUUUACCAAGGAUGUUUUCAUUAA
This 382-nucleotide ribosomal RNA is filed under the name uncultured eukaryote. Its description in RNAcentral is "partial 18S ribosomal RNA". It matches the Rfam family "Eukaryotic small subunit ribosomal RNA", at positions 592 to 976 of the family's 1831-position model. The record is from RNAcentral.